This 2804-nucleotide long non-coding RNA is filed under the name Equus caballus (horse). Its description in RNAcentral is "lncRNA (ENSECAG00000044273.1)". The record is from RNAcentral. Lineage: Eukaryota; Metazoa; Chordata; Mammalia; Perissodactyla; Equidae.
CUAAAUCCAAGAGUUGGAAAGAGGCGUACUCAUUUGCUCGGGCCACCACAACAAGCAGCACAGGCUGGGUGGCUUAGACAGCGGAGAGUCAUUUUCUCAUCGUUCUGGAGGUUAGAAGUUUGAGAUCAGUGUGUUGGCAGCCUUGGCUUCUUCUAAGUUCUCUCUCCUUGACUUCUUGGCUCAGAGACAGCCGUCCUCCUGCAGUGUCUUCACACGGUCUUUCUUCUGUGUGUGUGUCCUGAUCUCCUCUUCUCAUAAGGCAUGUGUCAUAUUGGAUUAGGACCCACCCAUAUUGAUAUCGACCCUGAUCUCAGUUUCCUCACGUUAAUCCCAGCAUAUAUGGGGUUAAAACCAAACACUCAUUCCCUGCUUACUCUCUGGCUUCCUGGCUCCAGAAUCCACUAUCCUCCAUGGAGACAGACACCGUCAAGGACAAGCACCUGGACUAUCUCCUCCCACAAAGAGAUACAGACUGGUGGGAAAGCUGCUGACCAGCAAGGUCACAGGCUUCCUCCUCUCUGUAAAUGUCUCAAGGCCGAAGACAGGCUGGUUGGGAAAGCUCCGACCAGCAAGGCCAUAUGCUCCCCCUCCCCUACCUAAAACCCCAAAUAGAAACCCUUCCUUUUAGCUUUUCGGGGAGUUUGGGAUUUCAGCGUUAGCUGCCCUCUCUCCUUGCUCAGCACUGUGCAAAAAUAAAGUUCCUACUUUCUUCCACCACCCCCGGUGUCAGAGAUUGGCUUGCUGCGCAACGGGACCGGCUGGAAAUAAUGGGUACCCUGGCAGCCCUCUGGGCUCCAUUUGUUUUGAAGUUGCCCGACGCCCCGGCCAAAUUUUGAGAAAUUCAUGGAAAGGACUCUGACACUCUGGAAUACAGGUUUCCAGUAAACGUUCAGAUUGUAAAACUAAACUGGAGUGAAGAAAACUUUUUUUCUCUAUUCUCUGAAAGAACUAUGACUUGCAACAAUUUAUAAACAAAAUUGAAACAUUUGUCUUUUCCUCCCUAUCUGAGCCCCCCAAAACGCAAAAACUUCUGAUAAGUAAGUAUUCUUAUUCUUAUGGCAAUAUAGUUGUUUGCAUAAGUGCAAUAAGAAUCUGUUCUUCUUUCAACAGGACACAAUUGGAAACAGUGGUUAUAUGACCAAGGCUUUGACUGGAACAUCGUGUUUGAAAAAACAUACGGGCUUGACUAUAACAAGACAGCUUUUGAGGAAUGAAGGUUGACAUUCUGGAAUAAAGCCACUUGGAAAUAUUGGCCUGGUACUGUGCUUAUGGGUUCUGUAACCUGGUAAGGUUGAGCAAAGAAUGUCACUCCCUCUGGCAGGUACCAGGAACCUCAAUAUUUUGGGGAACCUCACGAAGAGAGAGAUUCACCCAAAUCUGCAGGUCCUGCAGGCAGAAUGUGAUACAGGUCCUUUGCUUGGCUUUCCUUGAGAGGCCUUUAAAGAUCAACCUGAGGUUCCAUAUAAGGUUCCAGCAAAGCAGAUUUAAAAGAGCCUAUAUGAUCAGUUACUAUUCUUGCUGUGCUUAUGUAAAUAAUUAUGCCAAAUUUAUUAAAACUAUACAUUUUGCAAACCAGAGUGAAAUAGAGGGUGAUUUUACAGGGGAAGAUUAUAUUUCAAUAGACACUAUAAUACAUGUUUAUAGAUAUUAGACUUUAGUUUUUCCAAUUGUCUUUGAAAUUUUUAUUUUACUUCUGUUAACUGGACUGGAUCUUGAAUUCUUCACCUCCUGAAAUAUCUGGCUAAAAACCUCCAAACCGAGAUUUUCAGGGUUUUUCCCCCCAUUAUUUUCAUUUAGAGUCAUUGAAAACUAAAUCUGCCCUUUUUCUAAAGCCUUACAAACUGAAGCUGGAGGACCUAAUAGAAACUUCAGAGAGAUUCAUGUCUGCAGCUGUGUAAGCCACUCAAAAAGCUACCUGAGUGCCCGAUGACACCAUCUGAGACAUUUCAAACUGCAGAAGAUGCUUCGACCCUGACUUCCAGGAAUCUUGAUUGGCUGCCCCCUGGGCUCAGAAACUGGUUUAUAAUUUGCUCCAACGAUUAACCUUGUUUUUCUCUUUUUGUUUCUCUAGAAAAUCUUCUUAUUAAAUACCUGGUUACUUACUUACAUGAUACAGGCCUACCUUCAGGAGCCCACCAGCAUCACCGCCUUAUUAAAAGACUGGUUCAAUGAGAUGAAACGACCUAUGCCCCAUUUCAGCAGGAAGUAGCUAGAUCCGUCGCCGCCCCAAAUCCCUCAAGAUUGAGGGAGGACAUAAAAUAGGGGGGAGUUGAUAUCGACCCUGAUAUCAGUUUCCCCACAUUAAACUCAGCAUGUAUGGGGUUAAAACCAAAACACUCAUUCCCUGCUUACUCUCUGGCUUCCUGGCUCCAGAAUCCACUAUCCUCCAUGAAGACAGACACCGCCAAGGACAAGCACCUGGACUAUCUCCUCCCGCAAAGAGAUCCGGGCUGAUGGGGAAGCUCCAACCAGCAAGGCCAUAUGCUCCCCCUCCCCUACCUAAAACCCCAAAUAAAAACCCUUCCUUUUAGCUUUUCGGGGAGUUUGGGAUUUCAGCGUUAGCUACCCUCUCUCCUUGCUCAGCACUGUGCAAAAAUAAAGUUCCUACUUUCUUCCACCACCCCCCGUGUCAGAGAUUGGCUUGCUGCACAACGGGUGAGGGAACUCACUUCAUGAUUGGUAACAACAUGACCUCCUUUCACCUCAGUUACUUCUUCAAAGGCACUGUCUUCAAACACAGUCACAGGCUGAGGUACUAGGAGUUAGGACCUUGUCAUAUGAAUUUUGAGGGGGACACAAUUCAG